CGGGAUGUAGCGCAGGUGGUAGCGCGCGUGGUUAGGGACCACGAGGCCGCAGGUUCGAGUCCUGUCAUUCCGACUA
Molecule: transfer RNA, 76 nt
Filed under: Lachnospiraceae bacterium
Lineage: Bacteria; Bacillati; Bacillota; Clostridia; Lachnospirales; Lachnospiraceae
Description: tRNA-Pro
Rfam family: tRNA
About the family: Transfer RNA (tRNA) molecules are approximately 80 nucleotides in length.
Source: RNAcentral